AUUUAAACUAGGACAAAAGCUAAAGCAUCACCUUCCUCUGCCCAAGUUUUCCCAGGCUUAACUUCACUUCUUCAUGGCCGACUGACAUCUACCUUCCCUCACCCACCUAACAGCCCCGGAGCAGUGCAUGGAGGAUUACACCUCGUAAAUAUCUGUUCUUUUCUGCCGCACCUUCCUUCUUAUACGUUUCCUCUUCUCCAGGCGCGGGCUGCAACCGCGCGGCCGCUCUGUCAGGGGGACCUGCUUGAAGGCGGGCUGCAACCGCGCGGCCGCUCUGUCAGGGGGACCUGCUUGAAGGCGGGCUGCAACCGCGCGGCCGCUCUGUCAGGGGGACCUGCUUGAAGGCGGGCUGCAACCGCGCGGCCGCUCUGUCAGGGGGACCUGCUUGAAGGCGGGCUGCAACCGCGCGGCCGCUCUGUCAGGGGGACCUGCUUGAAGGCGGGCUGCAACCGCGCGGCCGCUCUGUCAGGGGGACCUGCUUGAAGGCGGGCUGCAACCCUGCGGCUACGUUUUCUUAGGAAGUAUUAAACUGUUCCCAUCCACACUGUACAGAAGGUAUCUUAGUGGGGGCCUUUUUCAAAUUCUGCAAUGUCUGACUGAGAAGAAAAAAUGCUCUGCAAACUGCCACAGAAGCAGAGGAGGUAAUCACACCUCAUGUAAGCAGCUUUGUGCCCAGGAGAACAUAUUGACUUCAUCAUAGAUCAGAGGAUGAGUAAUGAAUAUUGUGGAAUACAGAAGAGAAGGCACUGCUUGAACACCUGGAUGAAGUUGGAGGGAAGCUCACACUUAGUGGCCGCUCUGUAAGAUUAAGAAAAUUCAGAAGGAAGGGGAGAAAUGGAUGAAUUGCUGUAUGUCAUACAAGGGGCAUAACAACCCAAAUGCCCUUGGCUGUAUACUCAUCUGCACCACACACACCAGUGAUGCCUGGAUUCCUCUAGAAUCUCCAGCUGCCAAAGAAAAAAAUACCAGAAGCCCAGUUGGUGGAAAGCCCAUCACUUACUCUAGGUGAUAGAAGUCUUCUGCACCAGUAAGGAUCAGGCUGCCCGUAUACACAGUGAGAAGGAUGAUCCUAGUAACUAAUACUCAGAGGUCAGCC
This 1096-nucleotide long non-coding RNA is filed under the name Gallus gallus (chicken). Its description in RNAcentral is "long non-coding RNA NONGGAT002266". Lineage: Eukaryota; Metazoa; Chordata; Aves; Galliformes; Phasianidae. The record is from RNAcentral.